AAACUUGAGAGUUUGAUCCUGGCUCAGAACGAACGCUGGCGGCAGGCUUAACACAUGCAAGUCGAACGCCCCGCAAGGGGAGUGGCAGACGGGUGAGUAACGCGUGGGAAUCUACCCAGAACUUCGGAACAACUGAGGGAAACUUCAGCUAAUACCGGAUACGCCCUACGGGGGAAAGAUUUAUCGGUUCUGGAUGAGCCCGCGUUGGAUU
RNAcentral lists this ribosomal RNA (211 nucleotides) under Devosia sp. RNAcentral describes it as "partial 16S ribosomal RNA". It matches the Rfam family "Bacterial small subunit ribosomal RNA", at positions 1 to 242 of the family's 1533-position model. The record is from RNAcentral. Lineage: Bacteria; Pseudomonadati; Pseudomonadota; Alphaproteobacteria; Hyphomicrobiales; Devosiaceae.